Molecule: ribosomal RNA, 511 nt
Filed under: uncultured bacterium
Lineage: Bacteria
Description: partial 16S ribosomal RNA
Rfam family: Bacterial small subunit ribosomal RNA
Source: RNAcentral
GACAAACGCUGGCGGCAUGCCUAACACAUGCAAGUCGAACGGACAGAACAGGGAAGCUUUUCGGAGUGGAACUGGAAAGUUAGUGGCGGAUGGGUGAGUAACGCGUGGACAACCUACCUUGUAAAGGGGAAUAACCUCGAGAAAUCGAAGCUAAUACCCCAUAAUAACCUUGCUUCGCAUGAAGUAAGGAGGAAAGGCGGCCUUAGCGCUGUCGAUACAAGAUGGGUCCGCGUCUGAUUAGCUAGUUGGUGAGGUAAAGGCUCACCAAGGCGACGAUCAGUAGCCGGCCUGAGAGGGUGAACGGCCACAUUGGGACUGAGACACGGCCCAAACUCCUACGGGAGGCAGCAGUGGGGAAUCUCCCGCAAUGGGCGAAAGCCUGACGGAGCAAUGCCGCGUGAGUGAAGAAGGCCUUCGGGUUGUAAAACUCUGUCCUUAUCGAAGAGAGAGUGUUGUAGUAACUGACAAUACUAGGACGGUAGAUGAGGAGGAAGCCCCGGCUAACUAUGUG